GGAGGAAAAGAAACUAACAAGGAUUCCCCUAGUAGCGGCGAGCGAAGCGGGAAGAGCUCAAAUUUAUAAUCUGGCACCUUCGGUGUCCGAGUUGUAAUCUCUAGAAAUGUUUUCCGCGUUGGACCGCACACAAGUCUGUUGGAAUACAGCGGCAUAGUGGUGAGACCCCCGUAUAUGGUGCGGACGCCCAGCGCUUUGUGAUACAUUUUCGAAGAGUCGAGUUGUUUGGGAAUGCAGCUCAAAUUGGGUGGUAAAUUCCAUCUAAAGCUAAAUAUUGGCGAGAGACCGAUAGCGAACAAGUACCGUGAGGGAAAGAUGAAAAGCACUUUGGAAAGAGAGUUAACAGUACGUGAAAUUGUUGGAAGGGAAACGCUUGAAGUCAGACUUGCUUGCCGAGCAAUCGGUUUGCAGGCCAGCAUCAGUUUUCCGGGAUGGAUAAUGGUAGAGAGAAGGUAGCAGUUUCGGCUGUGUUAUAGCUCUCUGCUGGAUACAUCUUGGGGGACUGAGGAACGCAGUGUGCCUUUGGCGGGGGUUUCGACCUCUUCACACUUA
RNAcentral lists this ribosomal RNA (552 nucleotides) under Rhodotorula mucilaginosa. RNAcentral's name for it is "LSU rRNA". It matches the Rfam family "Eukaryotic large subunit ribosomal RNA", at positions 52 to 619 of the family's 3401-position model. The record is from RNAcentral. Lineage: Eukaryota; Fungi; Basidiomycota; Microbotryomycetes; Sporidiobolales; Sporidiobolaceae.